GACGUAGGUGGCAAGCGUUGUCCGGAAUCACUGGGCGUAAAGGGCGCGUAGGCGGUAUAUCAAGUCAAUUGUGAAAGACCCGGGCUCAACCCGGGAAGUGCAGUUGAAACUGGUAAACUUGAGUGCAGUAGAGGGAAGCGGAAUUCCUGGUGUAGCGGUGAAAUGCGUAGAGAUCAGGAGGAACACCGGUGGCGAAGGCGGCUUUCUGGGCUGCAACUGACGCUGAGGCGCGAAAGCGUGGGGAGCGAACAGGAUUAGAUACCCUGGUAGUCCACGCUGUAAACGAUGAAUACUAGGUGUGGGUAUCGCAGGAUAUCCGUGCCGGAGCAAACGCAAUAAGUAUUCCGCCUGGGGAGUACGGCCGCAAGGUUGAA
RNAcentral lists this ribosomal RNA (374 nucleotides) under uncultured bacterium. RNAcentral describes it as "bacterial SSU rRNA". It matches the Rfam family "Bacterial small subunit ribosomal RNA", at positions 524 to 898 of the family's 1533-position model. The record is from RNAcentral.